AUUAACUGUUGUGAUAACUAUCUUCCUAAUUGUUUUUAAAAUUGUUUUGAAUCACAAUGGAAAUAGUAUAACAACAACCGUAGUCCACUUGUCCCAUAAAGCAGUGUGUUUCUCUGUGAGGUUAAACAUCACAAGGUAAAUAUAAUAAAUAUUAAGUUUUGACGAAGAUACAUAAUAUGGCAAACAUAUAAAUAAGAUAUAAAUAGAUUGUUCAAUGUUUUCUUCUUCUAGAACGUUAAGGAUGUACUUCAGGUUGAGUUUUUUUUGGUCAAAUGUAAUAACUCUUUGUUUUUCCCCUUAUAAAAUACAAGGUAAAAACCUUUGCCCUAUAACAUCCAUUUUCUUUUCCUAUAAGUCUCGAAAAGCUCAUAAAAGGUCUUUAAAAAAUAAAGGGACAUUCAAAUUCUCAUAUUUGAUUAACAUACUAAAACGUAUAUCCAUUUUUUUUAAUAUAAAAUAAACAAUUUACACUUGGCAUGCGCUCGAUAUUAUGUUUCACUUUCAUUGAUGGUUGAACCAAAAAUAAUCAUAUUUUUUAUUUCUUUUCUUUCAAUGUGCGACCAAAAAUGAAUAAUACCAAUGCAACGGGGAUAGAUCGAUAGUAAAUUUAUCUUCGCUAUCCAAGGUUUACGAUCGACUUGGAGAGGAGCGAAGUAGAUCGUAACCCUUGGUUAGUGAAGAUGUAGUAAAUUAUAUGGCGUCUAUACUAAAAUACACACGAAACGAUAAUACAUAUUAUCGAGUCCAUGCCUGCGAAUUGUUUUUUUUUUUUUUUUUUACUUUUUAUAAUUUCGAUAUACGCUUUAGUAUGAUAUAAAUCAAAUAUGAGAAUUUGACUUUAUUCGAUGUACAUGAAUUUGACAGCCAAUGUCUCUUUAAUUUAUGCUCUUUUGAUUAAAAGUAUCGAGAAUACUGAAUUCCAGAUUUUAAAAAUUUUCAAACAUAAGUACAUCCUUAAGAUUCACCCAGUGAUUUAACGCUAUAUCUCUCAUUUCGCAAUUUUAGUCAAAGUUGAUGACAAUGCUACACACUUAAGUCACGUUUCAAUGCCCUCUUGGGAUCAAUAGAUUUUGAUUGUCAACAUCAUAACUUGUUUCGAGCAUUGAACCAGUUUUAGAAACAUUCUAUCUGUAUCACAGUCAUGUCUGUUCUAAUAAAAGAUUCUCAUGUUGGGCCUGCUUUUUGCCUGUAUUAAAUCACAAACGGGCGUGACUGUAUAUUUAUUUACACAUCGUACAAAGAAAAUAUUCUACUGACGUUUAUAAUUGAAAAUGAUGAUGAAAGGGAAGCAAAUGAUACUUAUAACCAUAAUGUCUGUGAUAACUGUACUGUUUUGCAUUAUAAAGAAACACAACUUAUAACCAAAUAUUAUAAUGGAUAAAGCUUUACGUGAUGUACACCCCAUAAAAACCCAACCCUCUCAGUCUCGAAAUGAAUAAAAACAAAUAUUUCGAAGGGACUACAUAGAACCGGCUCCUAAUGUCAACCCAAAUAGCUUAAAUGACAAAAAACAUUCAUAUAUUGCUAGAGGCAUUCAUGGUGAAGUAACUUACUUGAGAACAAAUAUACAUUUAUGUUUGCAACAAACAAACAAACACUCGAAAACACCCAAAGUACCUUUAAAUGUUUAACAAGAUUCCUUUCUAAAAAACAUGAAUAUCUAGUUGUGUUUGUCAAUGACAGUACUUUUUUUUUACCGCACAGAACUUGAAAAUAAGUCAAUCAAUUUUUAAGAAAGACAAUAUUUCAACGAAAAGACAAACAUUUUCACCACCAGGAAACGACGAUGCACUGAAGUUUUCUUUACAUAUCAAUUAUAACUCGGAUUAUUGAUCGUCAAAAUAAUCCCCCUUCUAUUUUAAAAUGUGUAACGUCACAAUUUAAAGUUUGUUGUCAGUGGGAGUAAACUUAGGUAAACGGACAGAAAGUCACAGGACAAAAAGUCACAAACAAUCUGUCAAUGGACGUCGCGUACGGUGUUGGUGAUAAUUCGGAUUUUGCUUUCCAGUUCGUCUUUAUUGCAUUUGUUAGAAGUUUCGGAAUUGAUAACUAUAUAAAUGUAUAUAUCAAAAUAUGCGUAAUUAAAAGUAGAAAUGGAAUGCCUUAAGAUCAAUAUUUUAUUCAUUUUGUCAUCGAAUAUCCCUAAUAACACCGAUUUGAGCGUGUAGACAAGUAACACCGCGACAUAUGAUCAGCGUUGCUUUGAAGUUAUUCUGGAAUUGAUAACUAUAUAAAUGUAUAUAUCAAAAUGUGCGUAAUUAAAAGUAGAAAUGGAAUAUGCCUUAAGAUCAAUACUUUUAUUCAUUUUGUCACUCGAAUGAUCCCUAAUAAUACUGAUUUUGAGCGUGUAGACAAGUAACAUAUGAUCAGCGUUGCUUUGAAGUUAUUCUUGUCAUUUUUUAAACUUAUUAAAAAAAAGUUGUACUCCUAGCAAGAGUAGUCUUUGGUUAAGUGUAUGUUUAUUUAUGACGUCAUGUUAACUGAGCGUCUGACCAGGACGAAAAGUUCACUUUGUUUUGGUCAAGGAAAAUAGAAAAAAUAUGAAUAGGGUGAAGUUAAGAGUGAUUUUAAAAAGGUAUUCAAAUAGACUAUUCGAGAAAAUGAUAUAUCUUUUUAUUAUUAUUAAUAAGGGAAAAAAAUAAAAAGUUUUGUUGACACAUUUCAAAAGAUCGUGGCAGAAAAUGAUUUUGAAAUUUGUGUUUCUGUCACAAACCAAAUCUCGCAUUUUUUUUUGGAACUCUUCAAAAUUCAACGAAUGCUGCAGAUCCAAACCAGAAUUUACAUAUCUACCCGUCCUUUGUCAAAAUUAUACAAUAAAUAUACAACUUUCUAUGUCUUCAAUUAGUAAGUAUUGUUUAAAUUAUGUCCUACAAUUUUCAUUUUAUUAAAUCCGUUGAAAAACACUCGCCGUUUUCUGACGUUUUGGCGUAUUUGUUAAGUGUCUUAUGAAAGUAAUAGGCAGUUUGCAGUCUUUUCUACGAUAUGAAAUUUUUAUUCAACGUGAAAACAUUUUUUUAAGUGUAUGAAAAAAAAAUGUGUUUGAGUUUUAAGAGAAAAUAUUGAAAAAAAAAAAAAUAAACGCGAUCUUUUUGUUUUUGUCUAGUCAAAAUGUCACAAAACGCCGUUUUUUAAUUUUCGUUACAAGUAUGAUAAGUCAUAUUAUACAGUUUUGGAGGGGGAAGAUUUGAAAUUAUAAUAGAACAAAAAGUACUAUAUAACAUUAAAAUCUACUGUUCAGGGAUUUUUUUGAACCCAUUUUCGACCACAUGUCGGAAGUAUUAACGACACAGUCAGCGACUACUUUUGUCUAGUCAUAAUGUCACACCAUGCUUUUUUACUUGUUUUGACGUUACUUCUGUAAAACUUGACAUGUAGUGCCUAACGUCGCAAAUUACGAAAGCCUUUACGUGCCAGGCUAAUUAAAUUUUUCCAAUUUGAUAUAACGAAUUAUGAAUUCGAUAUAACAGAUUAUGAAUUUGAUAUAACAAAUUCAAUUUGAUAUAACAGAUUGUCAAUUUGGUUAACAAAUUAUGAAUUCGAUAUAACAGAUUAUCAAUUUGAUAUAACAAAUUCAAUUUGAUAUAACAAAUUAUCAAUUUCAAAUUUGAAUUUGAUAUAACAAAUUAUCAAUUUGAUAUAACAAUUAUCAAUUAUGAACAAAUUAUCAAUUAGACAAUAACAAAUUGUCAAUUUGAUAUAACAAAUUGUAUGAUUUAAUUAUAAUAAUGAGAAUGAUUGAAACAUUGCGUAACCCAAAUUGGCGCAUUUAUUUGUGUAUUGAUUCAUUGUUUAUCUGACGUCCAGCGACAAAUAUGUCAUUGAAUGCUUAUUCAAAACUUUCUUAACAGGUUUAUUGUUUCUGAAACCCUCUCCCUCCCCUUUUAUCUAUUAUUUGAGGCAGUUUGGGGGACUAGUUUGAACGUUCUCAAUUCAGUACAUGGGACCUGGUGUCUUAGAACGAACGAUUAUAAUAGAAAAACUUCGGGAUCAAUUUAUAAAUACAAUUGUUUGAACAUAUAAGAGAAAUAUCUUGAAAUAUUUACUUUUGAAUACAUAUAUUCAUAUAAAAGUUUAGGAAAUGUGUCAUUAUACUUGAAAAAUGAAGAUUUAUUUAAUUCUAAUCAUGCAAAAGAAAAAUUUCUUGGCAUCAUGAAACCAUUUUAGUGCCAAGCCACUUUGACAUUUUGUUGUUUUUAACAAUUAUCAUCUUUGAUAUUUUUUUGAUAAAUUUUAUUUACAAAGUUGGUUUAUAUACAAUAGUUCAAGAAAAAUACAAAAAUAUUUUUGUAGAAAUAAGUGUUUUGUAUUCAAAGAAAAUAAUCAGAAAAAAUGAAUUGUGACUUUUUGUCCUGUGACUUUUGUCCGUGACUUUUUUUCUGUGACUUUUUUGUCCUGUGACUUUCUGUCCUACAUUCUAAACUUAUAGGGGUCAAUUUGAGGAAAGUACCUUAUUGAUAUUUGUCUGUAUAACAACACAUUCAAUGUAUUUCUGCACACAUGAAAAUCAUAUUAAAUACUCUUUUUAAUAUGAUUUAGGUAAAUACAACGUUAACUCAAACAAGAUGAAAAUAUUCAAGAUUCUGUGCACAAUACUGUUGAUGUUGAUGGCAGUUUUAGCGGGAACAGCCAGUGGACGGCAUGCAUACGACAAAAGAAUCAAAAGAGAUGCUAACGGCAACAAAUUGGGAAGAAGUAGACCCGGUUCUACCAAACGACUUCGAAAAGAAAGCACUGGGUGAGUAGUUAAUCUUGUUGACUCGAAGAAAAUGACGUCUGAAGAUUUAGGAACAAUAACUACAGAAUCAGUUUAAAACACUUAUGCAUGGGUUAAAUAUAUAAAACGUAUGUAAUUAGCAUUCCUGAACCAACUGUUGACUCGGAAUUACAGUGUCGUACGUUCAUUUGCCUGAUAUACAAAACAUUUUAUAUAUAAUUUUUUUUAAAGAAACAAUAUAGUCCCAAAAUGGCGGAGUUAAGACAUGCCGUAAUAACCAAGAACAGAUCAACAUUGUUGUCGUACAAAAUACAACAGUAAAUAAGUCAUAUAAAGAUUUUGUGCGAUGUAGUUAACAUUUUGUAUUGCAUAUUAUUUGUUUCCAUUUCAUACUGACAUUUUACAAUGACGCGAGUGCGGUUGACAAAUUUGAUGGAUAGCAGUAGUUAGAUAAAUGUCAAUUGUGAUCGAACUAUAUAUCUUAUAAUUUAUCCCGUUUCUCAGUUCAACAAAUUGAAACCAUUCAUAACAUUUAAAAUGUUUCGAAAAUAAAAAUAUAUCAUCUUUCCGAUUAAAAGGUAAUUUUAUUUUACUAUAGAAUAAUCAAUUUGAUAUGCGAUAUCGUCAACAGUAAAAUUUUUCUGACCAGAUGCACAUUUUGACAUUACAGAAUACACAAAUCUUUCAUUAUUUACUACUAAUAUGAAUUUGCUGUAAUAGUAUUUAUAUAACGUCCGUGAACUGAUUUACUGGAGUACCACACAAAACGUACGUUCUAAAUAAGACAACUAUUUUUUUCAGGUGCAAAGAGAUGAGAGGAUCAGUAACACAACGGACUAGAACUUUUAUAAUCAUAUUGGUGGAUUUGGUCUCUAUAUUAACGUUUCUGUAUUUGUCAUAUUUCUUUAUAUCAUGUAAAUCAUAAUUCUACUUCCAAAACAUUAUAUUGUGUUACUUGAAAAAAAUAAAUCAUUUGCCUUCAAAGAAUUGUAUAAUCUUUAACUUUAUGUGAUAGGUUCUGUUGACAGUUUCAGACUUGAUUUUUCCUUUAAUCUGACUAAGAGGAAAUAACACAAUAAAGGUCAGCUACAAAGGUUCGCCAUUUGAGAAUUGUGAUAAAAGUAAAACCAACGAUAUUAAAUAUUUUUAAUAAUUAUAUGAUUUAUUUAAUUGUUCAAUAACUCCAUAUCUAAAAGAAAACAUUUGAGGCAGCGUGACAAUAUAAAGAAAACAUGAUAUAUAUUUAUAGCAGGAGGCAAUUACCCUGUCGACGCGACAGUCUCAUUCCAUUUGAAGUUAUCUUAUGUCACCUUGAUAUAUCCUGAGAAAAAAAUGAUGGAUACAUUGUGAUACUUUCCGAGAUGUGAUAACAUUCAAAGUUACACCAUAAACACGGAGAACUGUUUGUUAUUGCUUAAGUUAUGAG
Molecule: long non-coding RNA, 6140 nt
Filed under: Mytilus galloprovincialis (Mediterranean mussel)
Lineage: Eukaryota; Metazoa; Mollusca; Bivalvia; Mytilida; Mytilidae
Source: RNAcentral